CCUCUGGCAGGAUGGUGAUGUCACAAAGUAGAGGGCAGAGGGGGUGGCCAUAGAUAUACCCUGGACUACCCUCACAGUGAACCUGCCCAUCACAAACAAGGGCUGCAGCAUGAAGGGGGCCAACCUCUGCCUUCCAGGUACCUGCACUACCUAUCAGAUGACAGCCUGGCUGCCAGUUAGCAUCCCUGCUGACUCCUGUGGCCUGCCCUUUCCAGAGACUAUGCUCCAGGAAAGGAGGCACAGGAGGUGAGCAUUCGGCCAGUACCCUAGCUUAACCUACGGUACUUAUCCCCUCCUCCAGCAGCCUUUCGAAGAUGCCACCUUGGAGGACAACAUCUUCUUCCCAGAAGGACUUGAGCAGCCCAGUGGCAUCCCCCAGGUGAAAGGGAAAUGAUGAAGAUGAGUUAUCCUGGAGGCCCAAACCUUCAAUGUGGUAGCUGGGCAUAAUCUGGGAAGGCUUCCUGCAAGUGUCCCUGGCAACUACCAUUCUACUUUCUGUUCUGUGAAUUUGACUGCUUUAGAUACCUCAGGUAAGUGGAAUCUUACAGAGGCGCCUGAGUGGCUCACUCGGUUAAGCUUCCAACUUUGGCUCAGGUCAUGGUCUCGGGGUCUGUGAGUUCCAGCCCCACGUUGGACUCUGUGCUGACAGCUCAGAGCCUGG
Molecule: long non-coding RNA, 661 nt
Organism: Panthera uncia (snow leopard)
Lineage: Eukaryota; Metazoa; Chordata; Mammalia; Carnivora; Felidae
Exons: 4
Source: RefSeq, a predicted model, not a curated record